RNAcentral lists this ribosomal RNA (292 nucleotides) under uncultured bacterium. Its description in RNAcentral is "partial 16S ribosomal RNA". It matches the Rfam family "Bacterial small subunit ribosomal RNA", at positions 505 to 796 of the family's 1533-position model. The record is from RNAcentral.
GUGUCAGCAGCCGCGGUAAUACGUAGGGUGCAAGCGUUGUCCGGAUUUAUUGGGCGUAAAGAGCUCGUAGGCGGUUAGUCACGUCGGAUGUGAAAACCCGGAGCUUAACUCCGGGCCUGCAUUCGAUACGGGCUGACUAGAGUGUUGUAGGGGAGACUGGAACUCCUGGUGUAGCGGUGAAAUGCGCAGAUAUCAGGAAGAACACCGGUGGCGAAGGCGGGUCUCUGGGCAACUACUGACGCUGAGGAGCGAAAGCGUGGGGAGCAAACAGGAUUAGAUACCCGCGUAGUCC